UACGUAGGUGACCAGCGUUUGUCCGGAUUUACUGGGCGUAAAGAGCGCGCAGGCGGUCGUUCAAGUCGAGUGUGAAAGCCCCCGGCUCAACUGGGGAGGGUCAUUCGAUACUGAUCGACUCGAAGGCAGGAGAGGGAAGCGGAAUUCCCGGUGUAGUGGUGAAAUGCGUAGAUAUCGGGAGGAACACCAGUGGCGAAGGCGGCUUCCUGGCCUGUUCUUGACGCUGAGGCGCGAAAGCUAGGGGAGCAAACGGGG
This 255-nucleotide ribosomal RNA is filed under the name uncultured bacterium. RNAcentral describes it as "partial 16S ribosomal RNA". It matches the Rfam family "Bacterial small subunit ribosomal RNA", at positions 524 to 777 of the family's 1533-position model. The record is from RNAcentral.